GUUUCCCCCGACUCUCAGAGCACGUUCCGCUCUCCCUUUGCCUCCCCACUUCCCCUCUCCCGGCAGCAGACGGCAAUGUAGAGCAAAGGGGGAAGGGGCCGGCUUCAUCGGCGGUGCUGCGUGAGGGCCUGAUGCCGCGGCGACCCCACGGAGAUGGGAGAUCCUCCGAUCUCCCGCGACCCUCGAUCGAGCGCUCUCCGACCUCGACGCAAUCCGCGUGGUCCGAACCUGCUAGGGGAUCGAGUCUGACCCCCGGCAUCGUCCUCCGCCUUCGCAGACAAGUCCCCGAGGUCUCAGCACUUCUACGCCCUCCUCUAUUCACGCAUGAACGGUGGAGCAAGGAAGGAGUUGUUCGACUAUUAAUCGCGUGGUCUUUCUAAUAAUUUAGGCCGUUUUGGAGGGAGGUUGGGGAGGAGACCUGAGACCGUAGGCUGCGUCGGCUGCCAGGUCGUGCUUGUGUUCUCAUCAGAAAAUUAAUUAAUCUGCUCCUGCCGAGAAAUUUCUUCGCUCUGGCGGCCGCUUAGCCGCCCCCAGGAUCGGGACGUCAUCAACAACCUCCUCGACGACCUUCGAUCGAUGGCCUUCCGCUUGGCGCCUCCGCUCCCUCCGCCCCCCGGAGCCCGACUAGAUGCUAUGCCGCACCCCGCAUGUGCGUGCUUUUUUUGUUUCUUCAGGGCUUGUUGAGCUGUGCCCUCAGCAUGUACCCUUUGACUACUUGUCUAUUGUGUGUGUGUGCGCGUGUGUGAACCUUGUUGGAUGUAUGUCUUGGGCAGUUGCUUUAUAAUCUAAAGCGGGGCGAAAGCCUUUUCCGGUAA
This is a long non-coding RNA of Aegilops tauschii subsp. strangulata, 815 nucleotides long. RefSeq lists it as uncharacterized. Lineage: Eukaryota; Viridiplantae; Streptophyta; Magnoliopsida; Poales; Poaceae. The record is from RefSeq and is a predicted model, not a curated record.